CUGCACUAGUCGGGGAGCCAGCGGUGCCCUGUAACCUGCAAUCCGCUACAGCAGGGAUGAAUUCCCAUGAUGAGGAUGUGUUAUGUGCUGUCAGCUGCCGGUGAGCAGUGAUGACGUUUCGGUCUCGCGCAACGAAAACCCGUGAACCAUGUCAGGUGAGGAAUCAAGCAGCAUUAAGCGGUGCUUUUCGUGUGCCGUGGGGUAGCCGGAGCCGAGCAAGCUGCCGGCGAGGCGGGUAUACAGCAUGAUUCGAGCGUGGGUGUGCAG
RNAcentral lists this signal recognition particle RNA (267 nucleotides) under Oscillospiraceae bacterium. RNAcentral describes it as "signal recognition particle sRNA large type". It matches the Rfam family "Bacterial large signal recognition particle RNA". From Rfam's summary of the family: The signal recognition particle (SRP) is a universally conserved ribonucleoprotein involved in the co-translational targeting of proteins to membranes. Archaeal SRP consists of a 7S RNA and homologues of the eukaryotic SRP19 and SRP54 proteins. Lineage: Bacteria; Bacillati; Bacillota; Clostridia; Eubacteriales; Oscillospiraceae. The record is from RNAcentral.